UUGUUACGUUUCCUUUGAGCCACGUGUCUGGGCCACUGAAUGUAUCUGAUGGUACUGAGGAUCUGAAGAA
Molecule: small nucleolar RNA, 70 nt
Filed under: Neogobius melanostomus (round goby)
Lineage: Eukaryota; Metazoa; Chordata; Actinopteri; Gobiiformes; Gobiidae
Description: Small nucleolar RNA SNORD66 (ENSNMLG00000013457.1)
Rfam family: Small nucleolar RNA SNORD66
About the family: snoRNA HBII-142 is part of the C/D family of snoRNAs. It is the human orthologue of the mouse MBII-142 snoRNA and is predicted to guide 2'O-ribose methylation of small 18S rRNA at residue C1272.
Source: Rfam by way of RNAcentral